RNAcentral lists this transfer RNA (73 nucleotides) under Rattus norvegicus (Norway rat). RNAcentral describes it as "tRNA-Pro (AGG) (tRNA-Pro-AGG-4-1)". It matches the Rfam family "tRNA". Rfam says of the family: Transfer RNA (tRNA) molecules are approximately 80 nucleotides in length. Lineage: Eukaryota; Metazoa; Chordata; Mammalia; Rodentia; Muridae. The record is from RNAcentral.
UUGGGGAUUUGGCUCAGUGGUAGAGCGCUCGCCUAGGAAGCGAAAGGCCCUGGGUUCGGUCCCCAGCUCCAAA